AGGGGAGUGAAAUAGAUCCUGAAACCGCAUGCAUACAAACAGUCGGAGCCUCGAAAGGGGUGACGGCGUACCUUUUGUAUAAUGGGUCAGCGACUUACGUUCAGUAGCAAGCUUAACCGAAUAGGGCAGGCGUAGCGAAAGCGAGUCCGAAUAGGGCGUUCAGUUGCUGGGCGUAGACCCGAAACCAGGUGAUCUAUCCAUGGCCAGGAUGAAGGUGCGGUAACACGUACUGGAGGUCCGAACCCACUAACGUUGAAAAGUUAGGGGAUGAGCUGUGGAUAGGGGUGAAAGGCUAAACAAACCUGGAAAUAGCUGGUUCUCUCCGAAAACUAUUUAGGUAGUGCCUCGUGUCUCACCUUCGGGGGUAGAGCACUGUCAUGGUUGGGGGGUCUAUUGCAGAUUACCCCGCCAUAGCAAACUCCGAAUACCGAAGAGUGCAAUCACGGGAGACAGACAUCGGGUGCUAACGUCCGGUGUCAAGAGGGAAACAACCCAGACCGCCAGCUAAGGUCCCCAAAUAUGGCUAAGUGGGAAACGAAGUGGGAAGGCUAAAACAGUCAGGAGGUUGGCUUAGAAGCAGCCACCCUUUAAAGAAAGCGUAAUAGCUCACUGAUCGAGUCGUCCUGCGCGGAAGAUGUAACGGGGCUAAGCCAUAUACCGAAGCUGCGGAUGCGUGCUUGCACGCAUGGUAGGAGAGCGUUCCGUAAGCCUGCGAAGGUGCCUUGUAAAGGGUGCUGGAGGUAUCGGAAGUGCGAAUGCUGACAUGAGUAGCGAUAAAGGGGGUGAAAGGCCCCCUCGCCGUAAGCCCAAGGUUUCCUACGCAACGUUCAUCGGCGUAGGGUGAGUCGGCCCCUAAGGCGAGGCAGAAAUGCGUAGCUGAUGGGAAGCAGGUCAAUAUUCCUGCACCAUUGUUAGAUGCGAUGGGGGGACGGAUCGCGGAAGGUUGUCCGGGUGUUGGAAGUCCCGGUCGCUGCAUUGGAGAAGGCGCUUAGGCAAAUCCGGGCGCAGGAUUCAAGGGUGUGGCGCGAGCUCCUUCGGGAGCGAAGCAAUUGGAAGUGGUUCCAAGAAAAGCCUCUAAGCUUCAGUCUAACGAUGACCGUACCGCAAACCGACACAGGUGGGCGAGAUGAGUAUUCUAAGGCGCUUGAGAGAACUCGGGAGAAGGAACUCGGCAAAUUGGUACCGUAACUUCGGGAUAAGGUACGCCCUGGUAGCUUGACUGGCCUGCGCCAGGAGGGUGAAGGGGUUGCAAUAAACUGGUG
RNAcentral lists this ribosomal RNA (1262 nucleotides) under Salmonella enterica subsp. enterica serovar Typhimurium. RNAcentral describes it as "partial 23S ribosomal RNA". It matches the Rfam family "Bacterial large subunit ribosomal RNA", at positions 532 to 1792 of the family's 2925-position model. The record is from RNAcentral. Lineage: Bacteria; Pseudomonadati; Pseudomonadota; Gammaproteobacteria; Enterobacterales; Enterobacteriaceae.